Molecule: ribosomal RNA, 497 nt
Filed under: uncultured bacterium
Lineage: Bacteria
Description: bacterial SSU rRNA
Rfam family: Bacterial small subunit ribosomal RNA
Source: RNAcentral
GACUGAGCGGGAACGGGUGAGUAACGCGUGAGCAAUCUACCUUAGUUACAGGGAUAGCCCGAGGAAACUCGGAUUAAUACCUGAUAUUCUUUAUUUCUCGCAUGAGAAUAAAAGGAAAGGUCAGCCGAACUAAGAUGAGCUCGCGUUCUAUCAGCUAGUUGGUGAGGUAAAAGCUUACCAAGGCUACGACGGAUAGCUGGUCUGAGAGGACGAUCAGCCACACUGGGACUGAGACACGGCCCAAACUCCUACGGGAGGCUGCAGCAGGGAAUAUUGUGCAAUGAACGAAAGUUUGACACAGCGACACCGCGUGUGGCAUGACGGAUCUAGGUUUGUAAACCACUUUCAGGAGGGAAGAAAAUGACGGUACCUCCCAAGAAGCCCCGGCCAACUACAUGCCACCCACCCGCGGUAAUACCGUAGGGGGCGAGCCGUUGUCCCGGAUUUUAUUUGGGCGUAAAGAGCUCGUAAGGCGGUUUCACCAAGUCGGUAGUAAA